Molecule: ribosomal RNA, 320 nt
Filed under: uncultured eukaryote
Lineage: Eukaryota
Description: partial 18S ribosomal RNA
Rfam family: Eukaryotic small subunit ribosomal RNA
Source: RNAcentral
CCCCUAGAUGUUCUGGGCCGCACGCGCGCUACACUGAACAGUUCAACAAGUCUUAACCUUGGCCGAUAGGUCUGGGUAAUCUUUGAACGCUGUUCGUGAUUGGGAUAGACCUUUGCAAUUAUGGGUCUUCAACGAGGAAUUCCUAGUAAACGCAAGUCAUCAGCUUGCAUUGAUUACGUCCCUGCCCUUUGUACACACCGCCCGUCGCACCUACCGAUUGAAUGGUCCGGUGAAAUCUCGGGACGGCGGCUCGGUCGCUUGCGUCCGACUGCUGAAACUUGAUUAAACCAUAUCAUUUAGAUGAAGGUGAAGUCGUAACA